This 497-nucleotide ribosomal RNA is filed under the name uncultured bacterium. Its description in RNAcentral is "partial 16S ribosomal RNA". It matches the Rfam family "Bacterial small subunit ribosomal RNA", at positions 28 to 507 of the family's 1533-position model. The record is from RNAcentral.
GAUGAACGCUGGCGGCGUGCCUAAUACAUGCAAGUCGAGCGAACAGACGAGGAGCUUGCUCCUCUGACGUUAGCGGCGGACGGGUGAGUAACACGUGGAUAACCUACCUAUAAGACUGGGAUAACUUCGGGAAACCGGAGCUAAUACCGGAUAAUAUAUUGAACCGCAUGGUUCAAUAGUGAAAGACGGUUUUGCUGUCUCUUAUAGAUGGAUCCGCGCCGCAUUAGCUAGUUGGUAAGGUAACGGCCUACCAAGGCGACGAUGCGUAGCCGACCUGAGAGGGUGAUAGGCCACACUGGAACUGAGACACGGUCCAGACUCCUACGGGAGGCAGCAGUAGGGAAUCUUCCGCAAUGGGCGAAAGCCUGACGGAGCAACGCCGCGUGAGUGAUGAAGGUCUUCGGAUCGUAAAACUCUGUUAUUAGGGAAGAACAAAUGUGUAAGUAACUAUGCACGUCUUGACGGUACCUAAUCAGAAAGCCACGGCUAACUACGUG